UGGGCGAAAGCCUGACGCAGCGACGCCGCGUGGAGGAUGAAGCAUUUCGGUGUGUAAACCCCUUUCGACUGGGACGAAUGCCUCGCAAGAGGAGUGACGGUACCAGUAGAAGAAGCCCCGGCUAACUACGUGCCAGCAGCCGCGGUAAGACGUAGGGGGCCAGCGUUGUUCGGAAUUACUGGGUGUAAAGGGUUCGUAGGCGGUGUGGCAAGUCGGGAGUGAAAUCUAUGGGCUUAACCCAUAGGCUGCUUCCGAAACUGCCGUGCUUGAGUGUGGGAGAGGCGCGUGGAAUUGCAGGUGUAGCGGUGAAAUGCGUAGAUAUCUGCAGGAACACCCGUGGCGAAAGCGGCGCGCUGGACCACUACUGACGCUGAGGAACGAAAGCUAGGGGAGCAAACAGGAUUAGAUACCCUGGUAGUCCUAGCCCUAAACGAUCAGGACUUGGGGUGCCACCCGUUCGGGUGUCGUCCCGGAGCUAACGCGUUAAGUCCUGCACCUGGGGAGUA
Molecule: ribosomal RNA, 506 nt
Filed under: uncultured bacterium
Lineage: Bacteria
Description: bacterial SSU rRNA
Rfam family: Bacterial small subunit ribosomal RNA
Source: RNAcentral